AGGUAGCUGAUGAACGGAUGAAAAACAGUUCUUUGGACACAGAACAUCAUGAUGAUAUGGUGGAUGUCAUUGGCAUUAGAAACCUGAAGGAAAAGCAUGUCAGUGAUGAAAAACGUCUUUCGUUAUCUGAUGUCAUCGACUAUGAAAAAGUGAUAUGUGAAAAUGCACAUUUGCGUGCCAGUGAAGAGAAAUUGACAAAAGAGACUGCUCUACUUGAACAGAAACGCCGAGAAAAUGAAAAUUGAACUGCGAAAAUCUAAAACUGAACAACGAAAAUCAAAAACUGAACACUGGUUUAAAGGAAUUCGAAGACGUGAUACAAGAUUUUAAAAUGAAAUGCGCAGUUCUUGAAGACGAGACCAAAGAACUUAAAAUGCAGUUAAAAAAAUAUGCCACUGCUGUUGACGACUCGGUGGCGAAAUGUCUUCAACUGCAACGAGAUAGGGAGGAAGAGCUUGAAGAUAAAUACCGUCUGCAAAUCGACGAAGGAAAUGCAAGAAUCGCCGAGCUGAAUAAUGAAGUUG
Xenia sp. Carnegie-2017 is the source of this 524-nucleotide long non-coding RNA. RefSeq lists it as uncharacterized. The record is from RefSeq and is a predicted model, not a curated record. NCBI's taxonomy places the organism in Eukaryota, Metazoa, Cnidaria, Anthozoa, Malacalcyonacea, Xeniidae. The transcript is spliced from 3 exons.